This 253-nucleotide ribosomal RNA is filed under the name uncultured bacterium. Its description in RNAcentral is "partial 16S ribosomal RNA". It matches the Rfam family "Bacterial small subunit ribosomal RNA", at positions 524 to 776 of the family's 1533-position model. The record is from RNAcentral.
UACGUAGGGUGCGAGCGUUAAUCGGAAUUACUGGGCGUAAAGCGUGCGCAGGCGGUUCGUUAUGUCCGUUGUGAAAGCCCCGGGCUCAACCUGGGAAUGGCAAUGGAAACUGGCGACCUAGAGUGCGGUAGAGGGUAGUGGAAUUCCCGGUGUAGCAGUGAAAUGCGUAGAGAUCGGGAGGAACAUCUGUGGCGAAGGCGACUGCCUGGACCAGCACUGACACUGAGGCACGAAAGCGUGGGGAGCAGACAGG